GGGAGAGUAAAGAAGAGAGAGAAAGAAAGAAGAAAGGAAGAGGAGGAAGAAGAAAGAAUAAUGAAAAUCGACCGUAGAGCUUCACCAAAGCUAGGUCAUGGGAUUUUGAGCCCAGAUUUAUGAUCAACUCAUCGGGAUCUUCGAUUUGAGGAUUUGGAAGGAGUGCUGGUGAAAAUCUAGAAUAUUUGAAAAUUCUUGAGCAAAAGAAAUGAAAUUUGGGGUUUCAUUGGUGUUCUUAAGAAAGAGGUGAUUUUGUAAGUUAUCUGCCUAGAGAUCAAGAGGCGGGCCCCACUGUGGAGUUUCUCUCUAAGGACUGGUGGGUCCCUGAUGAGUUCGGGUAUUAUAUCAAUUGCACAUGUUAUUCACCUGGAGAUCAAGAGCUGGGCCCCACUGUGAAAUUUUUCUCUGAGGACUGGUGGGUCCUUGAUAAGUUCAGGUAUGGUGCCGAUUGCAUAUGCGAGGAUUGUACUACAUGGCAGCAGUGACUCCUGAGUGAUUCUUUUUUAUUCUUUUUUAUCUACUCCCUUUUGAUUUCUUGAUACUUAAAUUGUUAUAUUUUUAUAUAUAUAUCAUGCCUUCGGGCCCAAAUGUAUAUAACUUUUAUGACUCAAUUUAGAUAUCAAGCAUUUGGGAAACAAUUAUAGGUAUUAUUAUGAACAGGUC
Molecule: long non-coding RNA, 663 nt
Organism: Macadamia integrifolia
Lineage: Eukaryota; Viridiplantae; Streptophyta; Magnoliopsida; Proteales; Proteaceae
Exons: 4
Source: RefSeq, a predicted model, not a curated record